AAACCAACAGGGAUUGCCUUAGUAGCGGCGAGUGAAGCGGCAAAAGCUCAAAUUUGAAAUCUGGCGUAUUCUACGUCCGAGUUGUAAUUUGAAGAAGGGUGCUUUGGUGUUGGCUCUUGUCUAUGUUCCUUGGAACAGGACGUCACAGAGGGUGAGAAUCCCGUGCGAUGAGAGUCCCAAUGCUAUGUAAAGCCUCUUCGAAGAGUCGAGUUGUUUGGGAAUGCAGCUCUAAGUGGGUGGUAAAUUCCAUCUAAAGCUAAAUAUUGGCGAGAGACCGAUAGCGAACAAGUACAGUGAUGGAAAGAUGAAAAGAACUUUGAAAAGAGAGUGAAAAAGUACGUGAAAUUGUUGAAAGGGAAGGGCUUGAGAUCAGACUUGGUAUUUUUUUUGCACGUACAGCGUUCGCGCUGUGCCACUACAGCUUACCGGGCCAGCAUCGGUUCGGGUGGUAGGACAAUCGUAGGGAAAUGUGGCACCUCCGGGUGUGUUAUAGUCCCUGCAUCUACUGCCUGCCUGGACCGAGGACUGCGUCUUUAUGACUAGGAUGCUGGCAUAAUGAUCUUAAGUCGC
This 570-nucleotide ribosomal RNA is filed under the name Hemisphaericaspora xylanilytica. RNAcentral describes it as "eukaryotic LSU rRNA". It matches the Rfam family "Eukaryotic large subunit ribosomal RNA", at positions 62 to 648 of the family's 3401-position model. The record is from RNAcentral. Lineage: Eukaryota; Fungi; Ascomycota; Pichiomycetes; Serinales; Debaryomycetaceae.